GCUAAUACCGGAUAACAUUUUGAACCGCAUGGUUCGAAAUUGAAAGGCGGCUUCGGCUGUCACUUAUGGAUGGACCCGCGUCGCAUUAGCUAGUUGGUGAGGUAACGGCUCACCAAGGCAACGAUGCGUAGCCGACCUGAGAGGGUGAUCGGCCACACUGGGACUGAGACACGGCCCAGACUCCUACGGGAGGCAGCAGUAGGGAAUCUUCCGCAAUGGACGAAAGUCUGACGGAGCAACGCCGCGUGAGUGAUGAAGGCUUUCGGGUCGUAAAACUCUGUUGUUAGGGAAGAACAAGUGC
This 301-nucleotide ribosomal RNA is filed under the name Bacillus sp. (in: firmicutes). RNAcentral's name for it is "bacterial SSU rRNA". It matches the Rfam family "Bacterial small subunit ribosomal RNA", at positions 162 to 456 of the family's 1533-position model. Lineage: Bacteria; Bacillati; Bacillota; Bacilli; Caryophanales; Bacillaceae. The record is from RNAcentral.